RNAcentral lists this small RNA (28 nucleotides) under Bombyx mori (domestic silkworm). RNAcentral's name for it is "ovarian small RNA-29830". Lineage: Eukaryota; Metazoa; Arthropoda; Insecta; Lepidoptera; Bombycidae. The record is from RNAcentral.
UCUCUAUGUAAACUGUAAUGAUAUUAAA